CCUACGGGUGGCUGCAGUGGGGAAUAUUGGACAAUGGGCGAAAGCCUGAUCCAGCCAUGCCGCGUGUGUGCAGAAGGCCUUCGGGUUGUAAAGCACUUUCAGUGGGGAAGAAAGCCUUGGGGCUAAUACCCUCGAGGAAGGACAUCACCCACAGAAGAAGCACCGGCUAACUCCGUGCCAGCAGCCGCGGUAAUACGGAGGGUGCGAGCGUUAAUCGGAAUUACUGGGCGUAAAGCGCGCGUAGGCGGUCUGAUAAGCCGGUUGUGAAAGCCCCGGGCUCAACCUGGGAACGGCAUCCGGAACUGUCAGGCUAGAGUGCAGGAGAGGAAGGUAGAAUUCCCGGUGUAGCGGUGAAAUGCGUAGAGAUCGGGAGGAAUACCAGUGGCGAAGGCGGCCUUCUGGACUGACACUGACGCGGAGGUGCGAAAGCGUGGGUAGCAAACAGGAUUAGAGACCCGUGUAGUC
Molecule: ribosomal RNA, 465 nt
Filed under: Vreelandella stevensii
Lineage: Bacteria; Pseudomonadati; Pseudomonadota; Gammaproteobacteria; Oceanospirillales; Halomonadaceae
Description: partial 16S ribosomal RNA
Rfam family: Bacterial small subunit ribosomal RNA
Source: RNAcentral